Molecule: ribosomal RNA, 253 nt
Filed under: uncultured bacterium
Lineage: Bacteria
Description: partial 16S ribosomal RNA
Rfam family: Bacterial small subunit ribosomal RNA
Source: RNAcentral
UACAGAGGAGCCAAGCGUUGUCCGGAUUGACUGGGCGUAAAGCGCACGCAGGCGGUCUGGCGCGUGGGGUGUGAAAUCUGGCCGCUUAACGGCCAGGCGCCAUCCCAUACGGCCGGACUGGAGGGCUGCAGAGGUCGAUGGAAUUGCCGGUGUAGUGGUGAAAUGCGUAGAGAUCGGGAGGAAGGCCGGUGGCGAAGGCGGCGCUCUGGAACAUUUCUGACGCUGAGGCGCGACAGCGUGGGGAGCAAACAGG